RNAcentral lists this long non-coding RNA (599 nucleotides) under Anas platyrhynchos platyrhynchos (common mallard). RNAcentral describes it as "lncRNA (ENSAPLG00000025929.1)". The record is from RNAcentral. Lineage: Eukaryota; Metazoa; Chordata; Aves; Anseriformes; Anatidae.
AAGUUGAAACACAACAUAACCUAUAAAAAAAAAAAAAAAAGAGAAAAGGGUGCAUGACCCAAAUAAAGCCACCUCAGGCAAAAGACUUGUCCUUCUUUCCUAACACAAAACAUUUAGGCGAACCAAACCACAGCUAGAAGAGGAUGGGAAAAGGAAGAAGGAUAAAACCACAAAACAAAAACACACAAACAUUCUGCUGCUGACAUUAAUUAGAAGAGUCUGGUUUUCUGAGGCAUUAUAUGUGUAGCAUCUAGGGGUAUUUGUAGGCAGUCAAAAUUAAGGUCAGAGAUGUAAAUCCAUGUGGUUUGAGUUUGAAUGUGUGAAGUGAUAGAUUCACAAAUUGCCUUUUCAUUUUCAGAUUUUUAUUUUUACAGUAUUAGCUAAUCUAGAGUUCAAUCCAAGUCUCAGUGUUUUUCGUUUAGAAUUCUAUUUAUUAAACAGGAACCCAAUCUGCUCAUCAGAUGGCACGCAAAGAGCACUAGUUGUUAAUCAGUAAAUACUUAACAUGUUUUCAUCCGUCAGUCAUAAAUAGAAAAGCAUUAAAAUGUUUUGUUACAUAACAUUACUUUUUUCCUGUUUAGUUAAAAUUCAUUCCAGUU